AAUAGGAGAAUGACAAAUCAGAUUUUUUUCUCUUGAUUUUUAGCUUUUUCCUCCUUAAAAAAUUCAAAUCCAACUAAAAAUGCUAAAAACCAAGAGGAAAAAUAUGAUUUGUUAUUCUCUUAUU
Molecule: non-coding RNA, 124 nt
Organism: Gossypium raimondii (Peruvian cotton)
Lineage: Eukaryota; Viridiplantae; Streptophyta; Magnoliopsida; Malvales; Malvaceae
Source: Rfam